UUAUGUUAACAAACUAAUGUGGAUAUAAAGAGGAACACCAAAGGCGAAGGCAUCUAUCAAGAUUUAACUGACACUGAGGUACGGAAGCAUAGGGAGCAAACAGGAUUAGAUACCCUGGUAGUCUAUGCAGUCAACGAUGAUUGUUAAAAAAAUUAAUUUUUUUUAUAGCUAACGCGUUAAAUAAUCCGCCUGGGGAGUACGAUCGCAAGGUUGAAACUUAAAGGAAUUGACGGGAGUUCUUACAAGCGGUGGAGCAUGUGGUUUAAUCUGAUGAUCCUCGUUGAAUCUUACCAAUUCGUGAAAGUCAUGAAAGAGAGUUUUUGGAGCUGCUUGCAGUGUUGAAUGAAAUCUUUCUUGUUCAUGGCACAAGUGUUGCAUGGCUGUCGUAAGCUCGUGUUGUGAGGUCGAAGGUUAAGUCCUAUGAACGAGCGCAACCCUCGAUUUUAAUUAUUUUAUCACAUAAGUGAAAAAGUUUAAAAUAUACUGCUGAGGAGAUCUCAGAGGAAGGUGGGGAUUACGGCAAGUCGUCAUGGCCUUUGAGAAUUGGGCUACACAUUUGCUACAAUGAGAAUUUC
Molecule: ribosomal RNA, 575 nt
Filed under: uncultured bacterium
Lineage: Bacteria
Description: bacterial SSU rRNA
Rfam family: Bacterial small subunit ribosomal RNA
Source: RNAcentral